GCCCACUUGGCUAAGUGGUUACGGCGUCGCACUUGUAUUGAAAUGCGAAGAUCACUCGUUCAAAUCGGGUAGUGGGCA
Molecule: transfer RNA, 78 nt
Organism: Serendipita vermifera MAFF 305830
Lineage: Eukaryota; Fungi; Basidiomycota; Agaricomycetes; Sebacinales; Serendipitaceae
Rfam family: tRNA
About the family: Transfer RNA (tRNA) molecules are approximately 80 nucleotides in length.
Source: Rfam